GUGAGUCAUCGAAUCUUUGAACGCAUCUUGCGCUCCUUGGUAUUCCGAGGAGCAUGCCUGUUUUGAGUGUCAUUAAUAUAUCAACCCUCUUUUGCUUUUUUUGCAUGUCGAGUGUUGGAUGUGGGGGUUUUUGCUGGACUCUCUCCUUGAGGUCAGCUCUCCUAAAAUACAUUAGCAAAACAAUUUUGUUUACUGCUCAUUGGUGUGAUAACUAUCUACGCUAUUGGCGGUAUAAAGCACAGUUUUAGCUUCUAACAGUCCAUUGACUUGGACAAUCUUUUUAUCAAUGUGACCUCAAAUUCAGUAGGAUUACCCGCUGAACUUAAGCAUAUCAAUAAGCGGAGG
RNAcentral lists this ribosomal RNA (345 nucleotides) under uncultured fungus. Its description in RNAcentral is "eukaryotic LSU rRNA". The stretch from base 1 to 72 matches the Rfam family "5.8S ribosomal RNA", at positions 84 to 154 of the family's 154-position model. Lineage: Eukaryota; Fungi. The record is from RNAcentral.